Dicentrarchus labrax (European seabass) is the source of this 615-nucleotide long non-coding RNA. RefSeq lists it as uncharacterized. Lineage: Eukaryota; Metazoa; Chordata; Actinopteri; Moronidae. The record is from RefSeq and is a predicted model, not a curated record. The transcript has 4 exons.
GUUACAGUGUGUCAGUUACAGUGUGUCAGUUACAGUGUGUCAGUGUUACAGUGUGUCAGUUACAGUGUGUCAGUGUUACAGUGUGUCAGUUACAGUGUGUCAGUGUUACAGUGUGUCAGUUACAGUGUGUCAGUGUUACAGUGUGUCAGUUACAGUGUGUCAGUGUUACAGUGUGUCAGUGUUACAAUGUGUCAGUUACAGUGUGUCAUUUACAGUGUGUCAGUGUUACAGUGUGUCAGUUACAGUGUGUCAGUGUUACAGUGUGUCAGUGUUACAGUGUGUCAGUUACAGUGUGUCAGUUACAGUGUGUCAGUGUUACAGUGUGUCAGUGUUACAAUGUGUCAGUUACAGUGUGUCAGUUACUGUGUGUCAGUUACAGUGUGUCAGUGUUACAGUGUGUCAGUUACAGUGUGUCAGUUACAGUGUGUCAGUGUUACAGUGUGUCAGUGUUACAGUGUGUCAGUUACAGUGUGUCAGUGUUACAGUGUGUCAGUGUUACAGUGUGUCAGUUACAGUGUGUCAGUGUUACAGUGUGUCAGUUACAGUGUGUCAGUGUUACAGUGUGUCAGUUACAGUGUGUCAGUUACAGUGUGUCAGUGUUACAGUGUGUCAGUG